CCUACGGGAGGCUGCAGUGGGGGAUAUUGCACAAUGGGGGAAACCCUGAUGCAGCGAAGCCGCGUGGGUGAAGAAGCGCCUAGGCGCGUAAAGCCCUGUCAGCAGGGAAGAAAAUGACGGUACCUGAAGAAGAAGCCCCGGCUCACUACGUGCCAGCAGCCGCGGUAAUACGUAGGGGGCAAGCGUUAUCCGGAUUUACUGGGUGUAAAGGGGGCGUAGGCGGCGAUGCAAGCCAGGAGUGAAAGCCCGGGGCCCAACCCCGGGACUGCCGUUGGAACUGCGUGGCUGGAGUGCAGGAGGGGCAUGCGGAAUGCCUGGUGUAGCGGUGAAAUGCGUAGAUAUCAGGAGGAACACCGGUGGCGAAGGCGGCCUGCUGGACUGCAACUGACGUUGAGGCCCGAAAGCGUGGGGAGCGAACAGGAUUAGAUACCCUGGUAGUC
This 440-nucleotide ribosomal RNA is filed under the name uncultured bacterium. RNAcentral describes it as "partial 16S ribosomal RNA". It matches the Rfam family "Bacterial small subunit ribosomal RNA", at positions 338 to 795 of the family's 1533-position model. The record is from RNAcentral.